This 681-nucleotide ribosomal RNA is filed under the name Triticum aestivum (bread wheat). Its description in RNAcentral is "partial small subunit ribosomal RNA". Lineage: Eukaryota; Viridiplantae; Streptophyta; Magnoliopsida; Poales; Poaceae. The record is from RNAcentral.
AUGGCCUACUUCGAUGAGAAAGCGAAGGAAGAUUCAGAUUUCUUCUACAUGAUAAGAUUGGACGAUGAGGACCGUGUCAGGAAUAUGUAUUGGGUGGAUGGUGCUGCAAGAAGAGCCUACAAACAUUUCCGAGAUUGCAUUUCAUUCAACGCGACGUAUCUCACUAAUAUGUACAAGAUGUCAUGCGCUCCAUUCAUAGGAAUAAAAAACCACAAUCAGUCGUUGCAGUUCGGAUGUGGGCUCGUUCGGAACAAAGACACGGAUGGGUACGUUUGGUUGUUCAAGACCUUCUUGGAGUGCAUGGAUGACCUUGCACCGAUGAACAUAAUAACAGACCAGGAUUUUAGCAUGCGCGCAGGCAUAGAGGAGGUCUUUCCGUUGGCAGUGCACAGGCACUGCAGGUGGCACAUUAUAAAAAAGGCUGAGGAGACGCUAGGACCAUUCUUUGCUGACCGUCCAGAGCUGCACAAGGCAUUCGAGCUGUGCGUGGACCACAGCUUGACAGUGGAGGAGUUUGAAAGGAGCUGGAUGGCCAUGAUUGAAACAUAUCAAGUACAAGAAAUGAGACUCUUGCUAGCCUGUGGGAGAAGCGAAUGUACUGGGUGCCGGCCUACUUCAUGCAGUGCUUCUUCCCAUUUCUGCAGACUACGCAGCACAGCGAGGGGUUCAAUGCUGUUUUGA